GAUCCUGGCUCAGGACGAACGCUGGCGGCGUGCCUAACACAUGCAAGUCGAACGGAGUAAAGCCCUUCGGGACUUUACUUAGUGGCGAACGGGUGAGUAACGCGUGAGGAACCUGCCUUUCAGUGGGGGACGAACAGUUGGAAACGACUGCUAAUACCGCAUGACGCUUCUUGGGGGCGAUCCCUGGGAAGUCAAAGAUUUAUUGCUGAAAGAUGGCCUCGCGUCUGAUUAGCUAGUUGGCGGGGUAACGGCCCACCAAGG
RNAcentral lists this ribosomal RNA (261 nucleotides) under uncultured bacterium. Its description in RNAcentral is "partial 16S ribosomal RNA". It matches the Rfam family "Bacterial small subunit ribosomal RNA", at positions 15 to 273 of the family's 1533-position model. The record is from RNAcentral.